This 404-nucleotide ribosomal RNA is filed under the name uncultured bacterium. Its description in RNAcentral is "partial 16S ribosomal RNA". It matches the Rfam family "Bacterial small subunit ribosomal RNA", at positions 30 to 527 of the family's 1533-position model. The record is from RNAcentral.
AUUGAACGCUGGCGGCAGGCCUAACACAUGCAAGUCGAGCGAGCGGCGGCCGGGUGAGUAAUGCCUGGGAAUUGCCAAGUCGAGGGGGAUAACAGGUGGAAACGACUGCUUAUACCGCAUACGAUUGGAUUACCCAUGUGUGAUUAGCUAGUUGGGGAGGUAAUGUCUCACCAAGGCGACGAUCCCUAGUUGGUCGGAGAGGAUGAUCAGCCACACUGGAACUGAGACACGGUCCAGACUCCUACGGGAGGCAGCAGUGGGGAAUAUUGCACAAUGGGGGAAACCCUGAUGCAGCCAUGCCGCGUGUGUGAAGAAGGCCUUCGGGUUGUAAAGCACUUUCAGCGAGGAGGCGUUACUCGCAGAAGAAGCACCGGCUAACUCCGUGCCAGCAGCCGCGGUAAUUG